RNA transcript from Biomphalaria glabrata, 15264 nucleotides. It is a transcript of the gene named kelch-like protein 40b, with no coding region annotated. The transcript is spliced from 5 exons. Lineage: Eukaryota; Metazoa; Mollusca; Gastropoda; Planorbidae. The record is from RefSeq and is a predicted model, not a curated record.
UAAAUUGUCAGUAAUUCACAAAGUGCAUUUUUUUUACUUGGGUGUCACCCCCCUAACGGGUGUCACCCGGUGCGGACCGCACCCCCCUUGUGACGCCACUGCUAUUACUAGAUCUAUUCGAUUUAUAUAUAGGCCUACAUAUAGUCUUCGUAACUCCUUCUAGAUCUAUAAAGAAAUGACUUUUGUAAUUUCUUUUACUGAAGAUUUGAGCUAUUCGCGUCUGACACAUAUAUAAUUUUGCUGUGCAGCAACAAAGCGCAUUUAUUAUUUAAAGUGCAGAAUAAACAUUAAAACACAUUUUAAUUAUGUUAAGGUUUAUGUGCUAAUUUAGGGGUAGUGCUUUAUUUUGGGAAUAAAAGGGUUAUAGUAGUCUACAGUGUUUACACUCUACAAUUCUUCAUUCUUUAGUUAAAUAAAAUAAUAAAUAUAAAAAAAAACAAAAAAAAAAAAAACGUAUGCUGACAUUAUGUGCAGGGGAGAUCAUUCUGUUUUUAUUGCAUUGUUAGCAUUAUCAUGAUUAUGUCGGUCUGUAGCCUACCUACGUAAUUAGAUUAGUUCUAGACUAAUUAGAUCUAUUCUAGAUCUAGUAGAAUUUAGAUCUAGUAGAUCUAGACUAUAGUCACUAUAUCUAGACUCUAGAUCUAAAAAGUAUAGAAAGAGAGCGAGAUUUACCCUUUAACUUUCUUAAUGUGUUCUUGAGUUGAGGGGUCCCAGAGGAUGCAUAUUCUAUUAUUGGCCUAACCAAGGUUGUAAAGUCAUGGUGAUCAAACAAGAAGUGGCCUAUGGUAUUGUCCAAGGUUUGAGUGACUUCUGGAAAUGUGAAGAACUGCAAGAUUUUACUGUCACACUUGGUGCAACAAAGUUUGGGUGUCAUAGGUUUCUUCUGGCAGCUUGUUCUGGGUUUUUUAGAGGACUUUAUAGAUCCGGCAUGAAAGAAACUGAAUUAAAGUGUGUGACUGUAGAAGACAUCUCAAGUGAAACUUUUGAGUUGAUCCUGGAGACUCUUUACACUGGUCAUGGUGUUUUGACAAAUGACAAUGUCAUUGACAUCUGGAGAGCUGCACACCAAUUACAAAUACCAUUUCUAAUUAAAGAAUGCGAAGAGUUUGCAAUAGCAACAUUGUCUCUGGACAAUUACAUUGAAUAUUAUAAAAUAGCCAAACUUUUUGAAUCCAAAGAAGUAUUAGAAGUUAUUUGGUCUUUUAUACUCAAAAAUGCAAACUCUUUCUUCCAAACCAACUUAUAUUUUGAGAUGCAAAUUUCAGAUGUCUUGAAACUUAUUAAAAGUCAAGAUCUUGAAACAACUUCAGAAGAUGAUGUUAUGCAUGUGUCACCACCUCAAAGUUGGUGCCAUAGAGUAGAAACCCUAAUUCUGUAUUGUGUAUGUUAAUUCCAUAUUGUGAAUCUUAUUCACAACCCAUGUUGCACUAAGGUGAACACUUUUGACCUUAGGUGAACCAGAGAGUUAAAGGCAGUCAGUCCACAUAGAGAUCUUGUAGCAAGUACUUGUAUUGAGUCACUUAAGAUAUAAGCAGUAGAGUUAGAUGUUUAAAGUAGUUGGUUAUAGAAUAAGUACUAAGUUGUGAUAUUCGUAUAUUACUGUUGGAUUAAUACUGACCAUUCCUGGGUCGAAUUGUAUGGUGUAUUCACUAUGUGGUGUUAUAUUAAACUUAUUGUAUCUGCUACACCCAGCGUCAUUUCAUUAUUCAGUGAUUUGUAACAAGAACCCAAUGUCACCACCACGCCUACAUUGAUAACCACAGCCACAUUCAUAACAUAUAAAACAACCCGGUGACAUUUAUAAAAGAACGGUGACAGCAUGCCUUGUUGAAGUGGGUGGAAUUUAGACCUCGGCAGGAUGAUGAUUCUGAAGAUUCUAUCAAGGAACAAAGCGAUAAAAAUUCAGAUCAGAAAGGCAUCAAAACUGGCUUUACUAGUUCAGACAUUCAACAUGAAAACAAGGUUAUGACAGUUGAUUCGCAUGUUGAUAACAGAAAACAGCAUCUUUCUGUUCUGUUAUUAAAUACAAGAACUUGUUUAUUAAGUCCAAAUUGUUUAGAAAUGUUGAUUAGACAUCCACUGGUAAGAAAAACCAAAAAGAGCACAGACAUUAUUAUUGAUGCUUUAUUGUACCAGCUUCAAGUAAGCAAACGCAAUGGACACUGGCCAGCUGAGGCUAUUUAUCGAAACAAUGGAAACUACGUUAACUCUGCUGUAGCUAUACGUAAAAAUGUACAUGAAACAAUAAUAAAAGUAAAAGCUUUUUCGUUUUCAUCAAAGCAGUGGCUUCAACUGCCUGAGUUGAAAAGCAAAUCAAGCGUGGCAUUUCUUGCUAAUGACAAAACUCUUUAUGCAUUGGGUGAAUCAAUUACAGCUGAUCAAAUUGCAUCGUACGACAGAGCAUACAAAAAACAGAUCUUAAAAUUAACCAACGGCAAUUGGUCAAAAGUAAAUAUUUCUUUCACUUUACCACCUGAACCUUCUGUUGUUGCAGCUGAUUCUUUUAUUUAUAUUCUUUCAUGUACAAAUCAAGAAGUCUGGCAACUAGACCCAGCAACAGAAAGAUCGACUCGAAUGGCUGAUUUACCCGAUACAGCAUCAAUACAUCAUGUGACAAAUUAUGAGCAAUUUAUACUUGUGUUUUAUAUCUUGGCAGAUGUAGAGGACACAACAGCUGUUGAUUGCUUUGAUAUAUUUAAAAACACUUGGGAAAGACUUGAAGAUUUAAAUGGUCCUGCUACAGGCAUGAUAAGUUUCAAAGAUAAAUAUUCAACAUAUCUUAUCCAGACUAAUGGGAAUCUCUGGAUGGUUGAGCCACAAUCGAAUGAUGUGGAAUUCAAAUAUUUGGCCAAACUUUGGAGCUGUGACUGGUCACUUCAUGGAGCGGUCACUUUUAGGGAUGUUCUUUACAUUUAUGGAGUCAAGUCUGAGACUUUAAAAGAAGAUUUCCAAAAACAAACUUCAUUAGAAGGCAUUUUUAGUCAAAUAGUUUACAUGGAGAGUGAGGACACAGCGUCAUCACCAUUUAUACCAUUAACAUUAAGUCGCCAAUGUAUCUGCCAAUGUUAAGUUUUGACAAACAUUUAAUAUGCUCAUUGGUUUGUUUGUUGUUGUUUUUUUUUUGCCAAUUUAUUGGUUUAUUUUCUGGCAGUUAUCAAGUGUAAUAAUUCAAACUAUUUCUAAUUCAUAAUAAAAGUGUUAUAGUAUUGAUAUUUCAAUUGUAUUUCAAAUAUGUGUAUAAACAGAUCAAAUGUUAUAGAGUAUCGAUAUUCUUUUAAAAUAUUUUGCUUAUAGUGUCUAAUGUCCCUAUUCCUUUAUUCAGUUGGUCCGCCAUUUCACAAUAAGGCCAUUAUCGUGUCACAUUGACCAGCUUAAUAUGUGAAAUGGCAGACCUUUUUGAGAAUUGGCCAGCCAAUUUCCUAAUUUGCAUGGAGCAGUGCCAAAGUCGCAGGAAAUAGUCAUGUGCUGAUAUUGGUAUUUUUUUAUGAAUACCUUAAACAUAAUUACAAGAUAAACUAAAAAUGAAAUCUGUCAAAUUACUUACUUGUAGAAAAAGAUCAAUUUGUUUCAUUACUGAUACUUGUUACAAAAAGAUAAACUUUUAUGACAUUUUGAAGUAAAAGCAAAUUUUGCUAUUUAAAAAUAUGCUUUGAUUAGUUGACCCUUGGCAUUGCAGAAAGAAAAAUGAUUUAGAUUGUAAAGUUGAAGAAGUCAAUAGAAUAAAGAAUGACGAAAACAAUAAAGGAAAUGCAAUACUUACGCUGAAGGGACAAAGAUUGUGUUUGAGACAGAACAAAAGUGAUAAGAUGGUACAAGCCUAAUAGUUGUGAAUGUCAAGUGAUGGUACAAGUCUAAUAGUUGUGAAUGUCAAGUGAUAGUACAAACCUAACAGUUGUGAAUGUCAAGUGAUGGUACAAGCCUAAUAGUUGUGAAUGUCAAGGAAUGUUACAAGCCUAAUAGUUGUGAAUGUCAAGUGAUGGUACAAGUCUAAUAGUUGUGAAUGUCAAGUGAUGUUACAAGCCUAAUAGUUGUGAAUGUCAAGUGAUAGUACAAACCUAACAGUUAUGAAUGUCAAGUGAUGUUACAAGCCUAAUAGUUGUGAAUGUCAAGUGAUAGUACAAGCCUAAUAGUUGUGAAUGUCAAGUGAUGUUACAAGCCUAAUAGUUGUGAAUGUCAAGUGAUGUUACAAUUCUAAUAGUUGUGAAUGUCAAGUGAUGGUACAAGCCUGAUAGUUAUGAAUGUCAAGUGAUGGUACAAGUCUAAUAGUUGUGAAUGUCAAGUGAUGGUACAAUUCUAAUAGUUGUGAAUGUCAAGUGAUGUUACAAGCCUAAUAGUUGUGAAUGUCAAGUGAUAGUACAAACCUAAUAGUUGUGAAUGUCAAGUGAUAGUACAAACCUAAUAGUUGUGAAUGUCAAGUGAUGUUACAAGCCUAAUAGUUGUGAAUGUCAAGUGAUAGUACAAGCCUAAUAGUUAUGAAUGUCAAGUGAUGGUACAAGUCUAAUAGUUGUGAAUGUCAAGUGAUGGUACAAUUCUAAUAGUUGUGAAUGUCAAGUGAUGUUACAAGCCUAAUAGUUGUGAAUGUCAAGUGAUAGUACAAGCCUAAUAGUUGUGAAUGUCAAGUGAUGUUACAAGCCUAAUAGUUGUGAAUGUCAAGUGAUGUUACAAUUCUAAUAGUUGUGAAUGUCAAGUGAUGUUACAAGCCUAAUAGUUGUGAAUGUCAAGUGAUGUUACAAUUCUAAUAGUUGUGAAUGUCAAGUGAUGUUACAAUUCUAAUAGUUGUGAAUGUCAAGUGAUGUUACAAUUCUAAUAGUUGUGAAUGUCAAGUGAUGUUACAAGCCUAAUAGUUGUGAAUGUCAAGUGAUGGUACAAGCCUAAUAGUUGUGAAUGUCAAGUGAUGGUACAAGCCUAAUAGUUGUGAAUGUCAUUGACAGUAACUGGCAAAAAUACGUGCAAAGGGAGUAGUUUCUGGAAAAGUAUUUUGGGCUUAGAAGAAAAGUUUAUUAUGGAGAAUGAAUGUGAAACAUUAUGACCUAAAUUUCCUGACUGGCCACGAAGUUAGUCAAUAUUCAAAGCGCCUAUAGAUAAGCCUUUAUAAUACAAUGAAAGGGAGGCGCGGUGGCUUACGAACUAGAGGGGCUCGGGUUCAAAGACUGUGAUUUCUUACAAUAUUGGUGGAAUAACGUUUCACGAUGCUUUUGAUCUUGUGGUAACACAGCCUGGACAGAGGAAACAAAACACAAUUUUUGAUGACAAAAACUAUUUUGAUGACAAAAACUAAUCUGGUAUCUCAAGAAACAAAAGAAAACCUUGAUUGCAGGAGCUGUAAUUGCGAUCUCGUUUUGCGGUACCUGCACAUUACAUGACAUCAAUUAUUACUUUCCGAUACUAUUCAAACAGAGACGACAUUCUCUUUGGAAGAAUCUAUUCUUGCAGUUGGUGAUUUUUACCAGUUGAAGCUUGUUUCUGAUAAGCCCAAAUACGAAGCCGUUUCAGAACCAGGCGUUGCUGUGGCACCCCCAGUGUGACAUUUAUUUGAAUUAAAAACAGUUGCUAGACAAUGAUUUCGAUUUUCAACAGCAUUGCGUCAUCUUGUACAGGGACAGAUGAAAAAAUUCAAUUUUUUCAGGAAAGAGAAUUAAUAGGAUAUGCCGUGCAUCUGUUCUGCACUAAUGUAGAUGUCACACAAUUUAAUAGCAUCAAAAUGAUGAAUAGUAAAGAAGACACUUUUAUUGGCACUACUUUUGACGAGUUUCUAUUGAAGGGCACGCGAGACUAUCCUGCAGCUAUGCUAUAAAAGAAAAAUGGGGUCUUUUGAAUGAGGUCACCUUCAGGUUUGGCAUAAAAUAUCGUGUGGCUAUGAGCGUAGGACAAAGCGGCACUGUUGGAGCUCUAAAACGAGUUGAUUGUUCUACCUCCUAUCGAAAAAAAAAACAGGAGGAAGGACUAAUCCUACGGUAGUGCUCUGGCCAAAAAACUACCAUACAUGUCGAUUGACUGCUCAGACACGUCCCCCCUUUAGCUCUCGGACCUGGGGACACUCGUACAAGAUAUGCGACUGUAUGCAACAUUCUUUUGACGUUCUCUCCACAGUGACGGCAUCGGGAGUCGUAGUUCGGACAGUACCGGGCAAAGUAUGUGCAAUGUUUGCUUGUUCUGACCUCCUCACCUGCCAACACGGAUCGUCGAGAUCUGGGUGACGCUUACGCUGUCAGACACCACGGGCUCUGUCGGAUUCCUCCCAGGACUUUGACCACUUCUCAUAAACGAGUGCUCGGAUACCCGCCUAGUCUCAGUCGAAAUGUGAUGCCUCGACCUUUUAGACCGCGUUCUAGACAACUAUUCAUCCCAGUUGGCCAGUGGAUCACACGAAUUCUAAAUGCCAACGUAAAUCAUUGCAUUGUAAAAAUAAAGUGCAUUCAAGAAAAUACCAUAACAGUGAAGGUAUAAGAUUCAGUUCAUAAUCCAGAUAUCUAUGGCUUAGGGAUUAAUGCGGUCUGGCUUUCCAUCCUUUGUUUAAUAAAAAUCAUUUACGUAGUCACGAACAUAGAGACUUGGAGUUGGCUCAAUUUUAAAGUUGUAGACAUUAUCAAUAUGUGGUGAUCCUUCCCCUUUGAGAGUAAAUGAAACUUCCAUGCGCAUUCGGAUACAUUAAUGGACUGGUUUGAAACUGAAAAAUCUCCUAAUAAAACACACGAAGACAUUCCUGUGCUAUUGAUCCCCUGUGAAGUAGACCCAAUAUUCUGGACUUAUUUCAAAACAGACGACAAGAAUAAACCCGAGCUGUGGCAGAGCUGCCGGCAUUAUUUUUACCUGGAUAUGAUCGCAGGCAACGUAGGCCUACCUUUUGACGUGGAAGAUAUUUCUGUAAGGUGGUUUAUGAGAUUUCAUUUGCCAUGACGUUCUUAAUGAGUUGAACUAACAGCUAUGUAAGGCAUGUUGAAUGGUAUGGAUCACAUUGAAAAAGCUGUUGUAGUUUCAUAGCAUUAGCAUGUAUCUUAUACUAGGUUUAGUCGUUUCAUCAUUUUUUUUCUGUCGCUUGUAGUUUUUUUUUUUUUUUUAAGGUUGCAGCUGCAUUACUGAGUCCAAAACUCAUAACUUCGUAGGUAAAGUGUAUUAUGGAGCAUACAAACAAUUGAUUUUCAUAAUUUGAAGACUUUUUUUUUUUGUAAAUAUGUAAAUAGACAUUUUAAGGUAAGAAAACACUUUGAAGAUCUAAGAUUGACUGUUAUAUAAUACUGUUACGAUCUUCUCAAUCAGGGCCUUCUGUAAACACUGCUAAACACAACACAGCACAUCUAAUGCAAGAACUGGACAACAAGAGCCUCAAGUAACAACGUGGCGGUUUAAUGAAAAAUACAUAAACAACAGCCAAUAAACACAAUUGGCUACAUUAACUUCAAAUGCUUUGCUACACUACAGAACUGCCUAACUAAUCACUACAAGUCUCUCUAGCUCGUACAGCUACAUUCUCGAGGACUCUCAAGGUUGUAAAGCCAUGGUGAUCAAACAAGGAGUGGCCUAUGGUAUUGUCCAAGGUUUGAGUGACUUCUGGAAAUGUGAAGAACUGCAAGAUUUUACCGUCACACUUGGUACAACAAAGUUUGGGUGUCAUAGGUUUCUUCUGGCAGCCUGUUCUUGGUUUUUUAAAGGCCUUUUUAGAUCUGGCAUGAUUGAAACGAAAUUAAAAUGUGUGACUAUAGACAUCUCUUAUGAAACUUUUGAGUUGAUCCUGGAGACUCUGUACACUGGUCAUGAUGUUUUGACAAAUGACAAUGUCAUUGAUAUCUGGAGGGCUGCACACCAAUUACAAAUACCAUUUCUAAUUAAAGAAUGCGAAGAGUUUGCAGUAUCAACAUUGUCUCUGGACAAUUACAUUGAAUAUUAUAAAAUAGCCAAACUUUUUGAAUCCAAAGAAGUGUUAGACAUUGUUUGGCCUUUUAUGCUUAAAAAUGCUAACUCUUUCUUCCAAACAAACUUAUUUUAUGAGUUGCAAGUUCCAGACGUUUUGAGACUGAUUCAAAGUCAAGAUCUUGAAACAACUUCAGAAGAUGAUGUAGUGCACGCCUUGUUGGGGUGGGUGGAAUUUAGACCUCGCCAGCAAGAUGAUUCUAUCAAGGUUCAUAGCGAUGAAAAUUCAGGUCAGAAAAGAAUCAAAACUGACUUUACUAGCUAGGAAACAUCAGACAUUCAACAUGAAAACAAGGACAUGACAGUUGAUUCGCAUGUUGAUAACAGAAAACAGCAUCUUUCUGAUCUGUUGUUAAAUAUAAGAACUUGUUUAUUAAGUCCAAAUUGUUUAGAAAUGUUGAUCAGGCAUCCUCUGUUGAGAAACACCAAACAAAGUACAAACAUUAUUAUUGAUGCUUUAUUGUACCAGCUUCAAGUAAGCAAACGCAAUGGACACUGGCCAGCUGAGGCUAUUUAUCGAAACAAUGGAAACUACGUUAACUCUGCUGUAGCGAUACAUCAAAAUGUAAAUGAAACAAUAAUUACAGUAAAAGCUUUUUCUUUUUCAUCAAAGCAGUGGCUUCAGCUGCCUGAGUUGAAAAGCAAAUCAAGAGUGAAGUUUAUUGUUAAUGACAAAACUCUGUAUGCACUGGGUGAGGCUAUUACAACUGAUCACCUUGUAUUUUACGACAGAGCAUACAAAAAACAGAUCUUAAAAUUAACCAACGGCAAUUGGUCAAAAGUAAAUAUUUCUUUCACUUUACCACCUAAACCUUCUGUUGUUGCAGCUGAUGCUUUCAUUUAUAUUCUUUCAUCCCCAAGUCAAGAAGUCUGGCAACUAGACCCAGCAACAGAAAGAUCGAUUCGAAUGGCUGAUUUACCCGAUACAGCAUCAAUACAUCAUGUGACAAAUUAUGAGCAAUUUAUACUUGUGUUUUAUAUCUUGGCAGAUGUAGAGGACACAACUGCUGUUGAUUGCUUUGAUACAUCUAAAAACACUUGGGAAAGACUUGAAGAUUUAAAUGGUCCUGCUACAGGCAUGAUAAGUUUUAAAGAUAAAGAUUCAACAUAUCUCAUCCAGACCAAUGGGAAUCUGUUGAUGGUUGAGUCACAAGCCAAUGAUGUGGAAUUCAAAUAUUUGGCCAAACUUUGGAGUUGUGACUGGCCACUUCACGGAGCAGUCACUUUUAGGGAUGUUCUCUACAUUUAUGGAGUCAAGUCUGAGACUUCAACAGAAGAUUUCCAGAAACAAACUUCAUUACAAGGCAUUUUUAGUCAAAUAGUUUACAUGGAGAGUGAGGAUACAGCACCAUCAACAUUUAUACCAUUAACUUUAUGUCGCCAAUGUAUUCUCCAAUGUUAAGUUUUGACAUAGAUAUAAUAUGCUGUUUUUUGUUUCAAAAUUUACUUCUAAUUCAUUAUAAAAUGGAUAUAGAUUUUGAUACGUUGUUUUACAAAUAUGUGUAUAAUCAGAUCAAAUGUUAUAGAAUAUCGCUAUUCUUUUCAAAUAUUUUGCUAAUACUUUCUAAUAAUUGAUUUUUAUGUCUCGAUUCCUUUAUUCAGUUGGUCCCCAUUUCGCAAUAAGGCCAUUAUCGCGUCACAUUGACCAGCCAAAUGUGUGAAGUGGCAGGUCUUUUUGAGAUUUGACCAGCCAAUUUCCAAAUUUGCAUGGAGCGAUUGUCCAAAGUCGUUAGGAAAUAGUCAUCAGCACAUGUUGUGUAUUUUCUUUUAUGAAUACCUUAAUCAUAAUUACAAGGUAUACUGAACAAUUUGUCAAAUUAUUUAAUUGUAGAAAAGGGAUCAAUUUGUAUCAUUACUUGUUACAAAAUGAUGAACCUUUUAUGACAUUUUGAAGUAAAUUUUGUUAUUUAAAAAUAUGUUUUGAUUAGUUGGCACUUGGUGUUGCAGAAAGAAAAAUGAUUCAAAGAUUGAUUGUUCUACCUCUGGAACUCCUCAAAGGGUUAGGCUUGAACUCAGCAACGGUUAGACCGAGGAGCAAACACGCCUGAGCUGGCGGGCAUAUCAGGAAUUUCCGAACAGCCUUGGACAUGGUAAGCAUGGCAUUUAAGCCUAUUAAACACAUCGUGGUCAUGGGGCAGCAGUGUCCUCUCGAACCAGCGGAAGUGCUCACUGUUCAUAAACCAAAGUGGCAGGAGGAUGGACAGAAAACUCCUAUAUGUGGCUCAGAGCUUCUGCCUAGUCCACAAUGCUUCGCCGACACGAAAAAUAAUGGAUUUGGAGUGUCUUUGAAAAGAUAGUUAUAUUGUUUGCACACUACCAAAUAAUCCGCGACUAUAAUGAGCUCAUGCAGUGCCAGAGCAGCUGGCAAAAUGUUAUCCUGGAUAUGAUCGCAGGCAAAGUGUUUUCUGUAAGGUUGUGGUUUAUAAGAUUUGAUUAGCCGCCCCGUGCUCAUUGAGUUGGACAGUUAUGAAAGGCAUGUGAUAUAUAGUAGAUAGCCUUGAGAACCGCUGUUGUAGUUUCAUAGCAUUAGAAUGUAUCGUAUUCUAGGUUAAGUCCCUUCAGCAUUUUUUCUAUCGCUUGUAGUUUUUUUUUUAAAUGUCACACUGCAUUACUCAGUCCAAAACUCACCCAACUUCAUAGUAUUAGGCCUAUAUAGCAUAUAAACAAUUGAUUUUUUUUUUGAACUUUCAUGUAAAUAUGUAUUUAGACAUGUAGGUAAAAAAAAUACUUAUAAGUUGAAAAUUUAAGAUUGAACUUUAUAUAAUACUGGUAUGCCAGUUACAUUUAAAUGUUUGAACCCGAAUGUACAUAAUUGUUAGUACCUUACUUUAGCCUCAUGUAUAUUAUUAUUAUGAUUGGUGGAUGUUUUUGCAAGAAGACAGGUAACAGUGUAGUCACUGAUCAGAUUGUUCUUGUGUGUUCUGGCAGUCUUACACAUAGAGUCUAGAUUUAAAAAGUUCAAACACUAACGAAGCAAUGUCUCAGUUUUUUUCUUCUUGUUAUCAUAAUAAAAGUAAGAAUCGCAGCUAGAGGCUUCAAAAUGAGUUGGUCAUUGUGUUGGUCACAUAAAACCCACAUAAAUUGAGAGCCACAGAAACAUGACCUUUACAUCAUCUGCCCUAUUUAUAGCUAAGUCUGAAAGGGGGAAAUUUACAUCCCUCCACCAGGUCGUCCUUCAGGAUGGCAAUAUUCUUUUAUAUAUAUUCGACUAUUUCCUAGAGAGAACGGAAACUUAUAUCUAGGUCAGGUGUAUUGUUUUGUUUAGUGUAUGAUUAUUAAUUAUCCAUACAAAAAAAAAAAGGCGCGUCAAUUUUUGUUUCUCAAUUACUUUUGCCUCUUCUUCUAGCCAGCUGUUUGCUGCUGAGCUGUCAGCUCUUUUGCAGACUGUGCCAAGGAAAAAUAGUGUGCUGUUUUCUUCAGUUGUUCAGCACUGCCGUAUUGGGUGUUGGUUAUGUUGGACUGUAGUGGAAGUAGGGUCUGCCUAAGUUGGAUUAGGGAGGGGCAUUCAAAGAGGAUAUGGUUUACGGCUUCAUAAGGGUGGGCGCAGUGUCUACAAAGGGGGAGUUGUGUGAAAUUCAUUUUAUUGAGAUGGUAAUUUAACAGUGGUAUGUGUCCUGUUGGAAGAUUCUAGAUUGCUCUUUAUGGGGUUUGAACCCUCGACCGUCGAUAAAUCCGAACGACAGUCCAGCGCGCAAACCGCACGACCAGGCAGCCAGGGCAAAGAGUUUUAUAAAGUAGAUAAUCAAUUUUAUAGUUCUAAAAUCACUUUAUAUAUUUCUUUACCAUUUUUCUCAUGAACAUUUAUAUCAAGUAUGCAUCUGGAUGGCUGCCUGGUCGUGCGGUUUGCGCGCUGUCGUUUGGAUUUAUCGAUGGUCGAGGGUUCAAAUCCUGCCCGCUCCCAUCCCCCGUCGUCCUGCGGGAGGUUUGGACUAGGAAGUAAACUAUCUUCAACUCUGAAGGAACAUCCGAAACAUGUAAAACAUUUUACAAACAUUUGACACGCAUUAUAGCUCAUGUCUUUCUCAUACUCUAGUCGUAGAGUCCGUGGGCAUAACAUAAAAAUACGUUACCAUAAAUAGAAAUUAAAAUUGUAUUAUUAAAAGAGACGAAUAAAUCUUAUCAUUUUUAUUAUUAUUAUUAUUAUUAUUAUAGCUUUUAUAUCUAAUAACAGCAAGGCGAGUCGUUUUUUUUUGUUGUUGUUGUUGUUUUGCGGGUGUGGGGGGAGUACAUUUGUAUAUGUACUUUAUAGCAAAAUUAAAGUUCCCCUUUCAGACCUUAUGGUCUAUAGGUUAAAUGAUGUACAAGUUAUCUGUUUCUAUGGCCUACGAUUUACGAGGGUGUCAUGUGGCCAUCAACACGACCAACCGCCUUUACCUUUCCCCAACUAAUGUCAGCUGGGAGGACAAAUAGCCUGAAAUUAAAAAUCCCAGUCUUCACGAUGAUUCGAACCUGGGACUCCCAGUUUACCGCUAAACCACCGCACCCUAUUUUAUAGAAGUUAAAUACUGAUAGUUGAUGCUGAAUUGAUAUCGGAUUUUAAAUAUAUAUGCUCGAAAUUCUUAAUGAGCUGAUAAGAGGAAGAAAUUAUUGUAUUAUCAUGUAGUCCGUAGAUUGUUGCGCUAUCCAUACUGUUUGAGUGGUCUUAUCAAAACUUUUGAACUUGGAUCUGUUUAGGAUUAUAAAGCUUUAUGAAUCUCCACAGUAGCAUCUGCAAGUUUCAUCAAUUUGUCAUUAUCACAGUGGCAGCAUCUGCACAAAAUAGGCUAUGUUGUGAUGCACAAAGUAUGGCUGGGUGGCCGAGUUGAUAGAGCUAAUGUCGUGGGUUCGAUCACCAUACAUACAGCUAAAAAUGUGAAUGUUAAGUAUACAAUUUUAUUUGAACAUUUUUCUUAACUUUUUAUAGCCAGCUUUUUGCUGCUAAACUGUAAGCUCUUUUGCGGACCAUGCCAAAUAAAAAUAGCGUGCAGUUUGUUUUUUUUUUGUAAUCUGCUGUUCCACACUACCAUACUGAGUGUUGUUUAUGGUGGACUGUUGUGGUAAUAGGUUCUGUAUGAGAUUAAUGUACGAUUAACAAUUUUGUAAGCAUGGGGCUGUAUCUACAGUGUAGUGGGCGGGGUUGAUACUGUUUAAGGGAACAUUUACCAGGAAAAAGAAGAGGAGGCAGACUGAAAACGCAAUGGGAAGACAACAAAAACAAAUGACUUAACAACUGCGGGGCCCUAUGCGAAACGGGUUGCGCGGGGCACAGUCUGGAUUGUGAUAAGCAUAAUGUGAAAAUUAAGAUUUGUAUAUCAGAAAAUACGUUCGUCAAUGCAUUCAAUUUUUAUUCAGUGAAAACUGACAAUGCCUUUUUUUUCCGCGCGUACGAUUGGCACCCCAAUCUUUUUUUUUUCAUGACAUUGUUUAUGAGUUUUAAUAAUUUCAGGAGAUUUCCAGAACUUUUUCGUAAAUUUUGCAAUUACGGGAGAUUUCCAAGACGCGCUGGAAAAUCAGGAGGCCGCAGAAAUCCUGUUAUUAUAUCUUCGUUAUAAAUGUUGAAUUCAAUAUUUUACACCUAGAAUUAGCGCGGCCCUAUGAAAGUGCGGGGACCACUUCGGCCGCUCAGGUCUAAGGCCGGCUCUGGAUAGUUGUUUACACUAAUACUAAUCUGCUUGUAUAUUACUCUGACAGUUGUCCUGUUUCGAUAACACUUUGUUUAUAAUUAGUCUAACUUUCAUCCUACAUCCGCUACACUUGUCUGUGAAUAACAAAAAGUCUAGAUAAUAUCGAUGUGUCCCACCAAUACCCAGCAGCUGGUCCAUAAGCUUCUUCCGAUGGAAAUGCUCGUUGAUCCGCAGACCAUUGAGCCUGGAAUAACUGAACAUUUGUUGAUUAAUUGUUCCAUUUCUAAAAGUAGUGAUUCCAAAUUAGCCUUUUUAUAUUCUAUCACAAUUUCACGUACAGCCGACAAUGAGUCGGAGACCAGUUUUGAAGUAGCUUCAGUAAAUAUAUUUACUAAAGAAGUAACUCAAAACAAUACCGAAGUCGAGGGUGCUGUGUCUGUGGGUCAACUUAACAAAAAUGGCGAGUCAUUCCUAAGUCUGCAGUUUAUGUAUCCUGUACAACGUAUGGUUGGUAUAUACAAGUGUGAAGCUCAUGGAAUGAGUCCGUCGGGAAAACCUGCCACCGAAAACAGUUUUAAAAAUGUCAAAAUGCGAAACCUUGAUUUUACUUCAGUAGCUGAACAGCUUAAACUGAUUAAAAUACAAUCAGCUAAAACAAUUUCGGAAAUAAAUGAACGGAUCAUAAAACAAGCUUCUGAAUUUCAAAAAGAAAAAGGUCUGAAAGAUGUGGCGCUGGACGGCUUGAGAAACGAGCUAGUCGUGAAGAAUCAGGAAAUCUUAGACUUAAAACAAGUUUUGGGAGAACUGAAUACAACAACAGUCAACUUCAUUAAAGCUUUGAAUGCUAGACUAGAGAGUUCAAGUCAAUGGUUUUUUAAGGUCUCACCGGUUUAUAAAGGCAGACGUUACUACCUGUCUCAACAAGACCCUGUCGUCAGAUCUGAGGAGGCUAUGGCUACCUGUGUUUUCUAUGGAGGCUAUCUGGCAGAGAUUGAUGAUAUGGAAGAACACGCUUUCGUAGUGACAUUUAUUAAACAAUUCUCCGGUUUCAAUCAUGUACUUCUGGGAGGAACAGAUGAAGGGCAUGAAGGUCUGUGGUUAUAUCGAAAUAGUAAUUCUACAUUGCCGUCGUGGGCUAUUACACAACGACAAGGGACCCUUUACAAUUGUCAAUACUUAUACAAAGGUGACAAUUGGGCUGCCCUUGACUCCCAUUGUUAUCUAAAUUUGUCUCCCUUUCCUGCCAGAUUUCUUUGUGAAAUCCCUAAAACUGUCAUUUAAACACAAGAUUCAAAUAGUUUACUGGAUAAUUGAAAGAAAAAAUGCAUCUUUCAUAUUGAGUUGCAAUUUUAGAUUAAGCCCAAGGAGAAAAACAAUAAUUAAAUGUUCAAAUCUUCUACAUGCAAAUCCCAGUUAAAGGUCAAUUAAAAAGGGAAAAAAAUAUAUUGUGUUCUUGUCUUUGUCUUGUAAAUUAAGGACGUUCCUUCAACAGAGAAGAUAAUUACGUCCUACACGUAGACGUGUGUAAAUCUAGUCAUGUAUGUUAGAGACUUAAAUUCUGUUUAGUCAUUGUUUUUUUUCCUGGCUGAUUGAGGCAACCCAUUGUAGGAUGGCACUGGGUAAGAAGGAGCGCUUGUCUGACUUUGUCCUAGCAUAUGGAAUAAAAAAAAUGUACUUUAUCUUUGUGUCUUUCUCGAGUAUUUCAUUAGCUUAAAUCUGAGAAUUAAAAUUGAAUAAACCCAUUUAUGCCGAA